CUGGCUGGUGGCGCCACAAAGCCCCAAAGGCAGGUUUCAAAAGCAACUUCCUCAGGAAAAAAAAAUUAUAGCCGAAUCCAUAUCACAGUAGCCCCCCAGAAUAACAUCUUUGGGGACAGUUAGGAUAACCAGAAGUUUAUGUAAUUGCUAAUAUAAAAGUGGCUUCUCAGAUGGGAGAAACAGUGCUCAGAACUGGCAUCAGGUGGAACCGGGCACCCCAGAUGUGUCACAUCCCUCCAGGGGUUGGGGCAGUGGCUCCACUACUCACCAGCCCUGUGCCUGGACAAGUCUUGAUUUUCUCAUCUGAUAAAUGGGCACAUAAUAUACCUAUUCUUCUGGUUGUUAUAAGGAUUAAACUAAUUAACAAUGCAAAGCAUGCUGGACAAUAUAGGGAGAUCUAGUCUCUACCAAAAACAAAACAAAAAAAAAUUAUCCAGGUGCUAAGGCUCAUGCCUGUAGUCCCAACUACUCGGGAGGCUGAGGUGGGAGGAUCACCCAAGGCUGCUGCAAUG
RNAcentral lists this long non-coding RNA (512 nucleotides) under Pan troglodytes (chimpanzee). RNAcentral describes it as "long non-coding RNA NONPTRT005984". The record is from RNAcentral. Lineage: Eukaryota; Metazoa; Chordata; Mammalia; Primates; Hominidae.